UGCUUGCUGGGGGGAUUAGUGGCGAACGGGUGAGUAACACGUGAGUAACCUGCCCUUGACUCUGGGAUAAGCCUGGGAAACUGGGUCUAAUACCGGAUAUGACCAUUCCGCGCAUGCGGUGGUGGUGGAAAGCUUUUGCGGUUUUGGAUGGACUCGCGGCCUAUCAGCUUGUUGGUGGGGUAAUGGCCUACCAAGGCGACGACGGGUAGCCGGCCUGAGAGGGUGACCGGCCACACUGGGACUGAGACACGGCCCAGACUCCUACGGGAGGCAGCAGUGGGGAAUAUUGCACAAUGGGCGAAAGCCUGAUGCAGCGACGCCGCGUGAGGGAUGACGGCCUUCGGGUUGUAAACCUCUUUCAGUAGGGAAGAAGCGAAAGUGACGGUACCUGCAGAAGAAGCGCCGGCUAACUACGUGCCAGCAGCCGCGGUAAUACGUAGGGCGCAAGCGUUAUCCGGAAUUAUUGGGCGUAAAGAGCUCGUAGGCGGUUUGUCGCGUCUGCUGUGAAAGACCGGGGCUCAACUCCGGUUCUGCAGUGGGUACGGGCAGACUAGAGUGAUGUAGGGGAGACUGGAAUUCCUGGUGUAGCGGUGAAAUGCGCAGAUAUCAGGAGGAACACCGAUGGCGAAGGCAGGUCUCUGGGCAUUAACUGACGCUGAGGAGCGAAAGCAUGGGGAGCGAACAGGAUUAGAUACCCUGGUAGUCCAUGCCGUAAACGUUGGGCACUAGGUGUGGGGGACAUUCCACGUUUUCCGCGCCGUAGCUAACGCAUUAAGUGCCCCGCCUGGGGAGUACGGCCG
Molecule: ribosomal RNA, 800 nt
Filed under: Arthrobacter sp. PAP2-9_Pa
Lineage: Bacteria; Bacillati; Actinomycetota; Actinomycetes; Micrococcales; Micrococcaceae
Description: bacterial SSU rRNA
Rfam family: Bacterial small subunit ribosomal RNA
Source: RNAcentral